RNAcentral lists this transfer RNA (63 nucleotides) under Blastococcus saxobsidens DD2. RNAcentral's name for it is "tRNA-Arg (CCG) (tRNA-Arg-CCG-2-1)". Lineage: Bacteria; Bacillati; Actinomycetota; Actinomycetes; Geodermatophilales; Geodermatophilaceae. The record is from RNAcentral.
AGGUCAGCCAACCAGCCGAAUGGCCCUCCGGAGGCGGGUGCGCAGGUUCGAAUCCUGCCGGGG